GAGUUUGAUCCUGGCUCAGGAUGAACGCUGGCGGUGCGCNUAAUGCAUGCAAGUCGAGCGACGCACUUCGGAGGGGUAACCCACUGAAAUGACGGAGCGGCGAACGGGUGAGUAACACGUGAGCAACCUGCCCCACAGACCGGGAUAGCCCAAGGAAACUCGGAUUAAUACCGGAUGCCCUCGUAGGACCGCAUGGUCCAUCGAGGAAAUGCCUUUGUGCUGUGGGAUGGGCUCGCGACUUAUCAGUUAGUUGGUGGGGUAACGGCCUACCAAGACAAUGACGAGUAGCUGGUCUGAGAGGACGAUCAGCCACACUGGAACUGAGACACGGUCCAGACUCCUACGGGAGGCAGCAGCAGGGAAUCUUGCGCAAUGGGCGAAAGCCUGACGCAGCGACACCGCGUGGGGGAUGAAGGCCUUCGGGUUGUAAACCCCUUUCAGGAGGGAAGAAAUUGACGGUACCUCCACAAGAAGGACCGGCCAACUACGUGCCAGCAGCCGCGGUAAUACGUAGGGUCCGAGCGUUAUCCGGAAUCAUUGGGCGUAAAGAGCUCGUAGGCGGUUCAGCAAGUCGGCUGUGAAAGUUCGAGGCUCAACCUCGAAAUUGCAGUCGAUACUGCUGUGACUCGAGUCCGGUAGAGGAGAAUGGAAUUCCCGGUGUAGCGGUGAAAUGCGCAGAUAUCGGGAGGAACACCAGUAGCGAAGGCGGUUCUCUGGGCCGGCACUGACGCUGAGGAGCGAAAGCGUGGGGAGCAAACAGGAUUAGAUACCCUGGUAGUC
Molecule: ribosomal RNA, 780 nt
Filed under: uncultured marine bacterium
Lineage: Bacteria
Description: bacterial SSU rRNA
Rfam family: Bacterial small subunit ribosomal RNA
Source: RNAcentral